RNAcentral lists this long non-coding RNA (540 nucleotides) under Helianthus annuus (common sunflower). RNAcentral describes it as "Eukaryotic small subunit ribosomal RNA". The stretch from base 245 to 540 matches the Rfam family "Bacterial small subunit ribosomal RNA", at positions 1 to 877 of the family's 1533-position model. The record is from RNAcentral. Lineage: Eukaryota; Viridiplantae; Streptophyta; Magnoliopsida; Asterales; Asteraceae.
AAUUCUCAUACUAAAUAUUAUUUAGUUUAAUUUCUUAUGGAUAAUUAUUAUUUAGUUUAUCUCCUUCUCAUUUAUAAUAUUAUUUAUUUAACUAAUAGAGUAAAUUACGACUUUGGCCCCUGUGGUUAUAUCACUUUUACUCUUUUAGCCCCAAAAGAAUUUUUAACAUCUGAGCCCCCAACGUCUUUUUUCUAAUCUUUUUGGCCCCUAACGUCUUUUUUCUAACCCUUUUGACCCCUAACAUUUAAUGGAUGGGGUUAGUUUUAGGGGCCAACUCUGGACAGGCGGUGGAAACUACCAAGCUGGAGUACGGUAGGGGCAGAGGGAAUUUCCGGUGGAGCGGUGAAAUGCGCAGAGAUCGGAAAGAACACCAACGACGAAAGCACUCUGCUGGGCCGACACUCACACUGAGAGACGAAAGCUAGGGGAGCGAACGGGAUUAGAUACCCCAGUAGUCCUAGCCGUAAAAGAUGGAUACUAGGUGUUGUGCGUAUCGACCCGUGCAGUGCUGUAGCUAACGCGUUAAGUAUCCCGCCUGGG